This 29-nucleotide non-coding RNA is filed under the name Bombyx mori (domestic silkworm). The record is from RNAcentral. Lineage: Eukaryota; Metazoa; Arthropoda; Insecta; Lepidoptera; Bombycidae.
GCGUAUGAUAUGGUGCUCGUAGCACUAGA